GUAAAAGUCGUAACAAGGUUUCCGUAGGUGAGUACACGAAGCCUCCCGUCUCGACCCACGACGAUCGAUUGCUAACCAUAUUCUCUAUGUGAACCUGCGGAAGGAUCAUUACCGAGUGAGGGUCGCAAGGCCCGAACCUCCCACCCAUGUGUAUCGACCUCUGUUGCUUCGGUGGACCCGCGGGUACCCCCCGCCGCCGGCUCCGGCCGGCCCGCGUCCACCAGAGGCCCUAUCAACUCGUCCAUGUUGCGGUCCAAGUAUGAUAUCAAUCAUUAAAACUUUCAACAACGGAUCUCUUGGUUCUGGCAUCGAUGAAGAACGCAGCGAAAUGCGAUAAGUAAUGUGAAUUGCAGAAUUCAGUGAAUCAUCGAAUCUUUGAACGCACAUUGCGCCCCUUGGUAUUCCGAGGGGCAUGCCUGUUCGAGCGUCAUUGUCAUCCUCAAGCUCGGCUUGGUGUUGGGCCUCCGUCCGCUCGCGACGGGCCCGAAACGCAGUGGCGACCCCGCCGGAUCUCGGGCGUAGUAAAGCAUCACGUCUGUGGAUCCGACGGCCGGUCCGCCGAAUCGUCAUAUCACAGUUUGACCUCGGAUCAGGUAGGGAUACCCGCUGAACUUA
This 615-nucleotide ribosomal RNA is filed under the name uncultured Ascomycota. RNAcentral's name for it is "eukaryotic LSU rRNA". The stretch from base 277 to 430 matches the Rfam family "5.8S ribosomal RNA". Lineage: Eukaryota; Fungi; Ascomycota. The record is from RNAcentral.